AUACGGAGGGUGCGAGCGUUAAUCGGAAUUACUGGGCGUAAAGCGUACGUAGGCGGUUGGUUAAGUUAGAUGUGAAAGCCCCGGGCUUAACCUGGGAACUGCAUUUAAAACUGGCGAACUAGAGUUGAGUAGAGGGGAGUGGAAUUUCAGGUGUAGCGGUGAAAUGCGUAGAGAUCUGAAGGAACACCAGUGGCGAAGGCGACUCCCUGGACUCGAACUGACGCUGAGGUACGAAAGCGUGGGGAGCAAACGGAAUUAGAAACCCCAGUAGUCC
This 274-nucleotide ribosomal RNA is filed under the name uncultured bacterium. RNAcentral describes it as "partial 16S ribosomal RNA". It matches the Rfam family "Bacterial small subunit ribosomal RNA", at positions 523 to 796 of the family's 1533-position model. The record is from RNAcentral.